RNAcentral lists this transfer RNA (87 nucleotides) under Firmicutes bacterium CAG:345. It matches the Rfam family "tRNA". From Rfam's summary of the family: Transfer RNA (tRNA) molecules are approximately 80 nucleotides in length. Their secondary structure includes four short double-helical elements and three loops (D, anti-codon, and T loops). Further hydrogen bonds mediate the characteristic L-shaped molecular structure. tRNAs have two regions of fundamental functional importance: the anti-codon, which is responsible for specific mRNA codon recognition, and the 3' end, to which the tRNAs corresponding amino acid is attached (by aminoacyl-tRNA synthetases). tRNAs cope with the degeneracy of the genetic code in two manners: having more than one tRNA (with a specific anti-codon) for a particular amino acid; and 'wobble' base-pairing, i.e. permitting non-standard base-pairing at the 3rd anti-codon position. The record is from Rfam by way of RNAcentral. Lineage: Bacteria; Bacillati; Bacillota.
GGAGCAGUACCCAAGCGGUUGAAGGGACUGGUCUUGAAAACCAGCAGAGGUUAGUAGCCUGCCAGGGUUCGAAUCCCUGCUGCUCCG